AGUGAACGCUGGCGGCAGGCCUAACACAUGCAAGUCGAACGGCAGCACAAGAGAGCUUGCUCUCUGGGUGGCGAGUGGCGGACGGGUGAGGAAUGCAUCGGAAUCUGCCCAUUUGUGGGGGAUAACCUCGGGAAACCGGGACUAAUACCGCAUACGACCUACGGGUGAAAGCAGGGGAUCUUCGGACCUUGCGCCGAUGGAUGAGCCGAUGCCGGAUUAGCUAGUUGGAGGGGUAAAGGCCCACCAAGGCGACGAUCCGUAGCUGGUCUGAGAGGAUGAUCAGCCACACUGGGACUGAGACACGGCCCAGACUCCUACGGGAGGCAGCAGUGGGGAAUAUUGGACAAAGGGCGCAAGCCUGAUCCAGCCAUGCCGCGUGUGUGAAGAAGGCCUUCGGGUUGUAAAGCACUUUUGUUGGGAAAGAAAAGCAGACGGUUAAUACCCGGUUGUCAUGACGGUACCCAAAGAAUAAGCACCGGCUAACUUCGUG
This 490-nucleotide ribosomal RNA is filed under the name uncultured bacterium. RNAcentral describes it as "partial 16S ribosomal RNA". It matches the Rfam family "Bacterial small subunit ribosomal RNA", at positions 29 to 507 of the family's 1533-position model. The record is from RNAcentral.